RNAcentral lists this ribosomal RNA (454 nucleotides) under uncultured bacterium. Its description in RNAcentral is "partial 16S ribosomal RNA". It matches the Rfam family "Bacterial small subunit ribosomal RNA", at positions 28 to 507 of the family's 1533-position model. The record is from RNAcentral.
GAUGAACGCUGACAGAAUGCUUAACACAUGCAAGUCAACUUGAACUUCGGUUUGGGUGGCGGACGGGUGAGUAACGCGUAAAGAACUUGCCUCACAGAUAGGGACAACAUUUGGAAACGAAUGCUAAUACCUGAUAUUAUGAUUAUAUGGCAUCGUAUAAUUAUGAAAGCUAUAUGCGCUGUGAGAGAGCUUUGCGUCCCAUUAGCUAGUUGGAGAGGUAACGGCUCACCAAGGCGAUGAUGGGUAGCCGGCCUGAGAGGGUGAUCGGCCACAAGGGGACUGAGACACGGCCCUUACUCCUACGGGAGGCAGCAGUGGGGAAUAUUGGACAAUGGACCAAGAGUCUGAUCCAGCAAUUCUGUGUGCACGAUGAAGUUUCUCGGAAUGUAAAGUGCUUUCAGUUGGGAAGAAAAAAAUGACGGUACCAACAGAAGAAGUGACGGCUAAAUACGUG